UACGUAGGGGGCAAGCGUUGUCCGGAUUUAUUGGGCGUAAAGAGCGUGUAGGCGGCCAGAUAGGUCCGUUGUGAAAACUCGAGGCUCAACCUCGAGACGCCGAUGGAAACCAUUUGGCUAGAGUCCGGAAGAGGAGAGUGGAAUUCCUGGUGUAGCGGUGAAAUGCGCAGAUAUCAGGAGGAACACCGGUGGCGAAGGCGGGACUCUGGGCCGAUACUGACACUGAGGAGCGAAAGCGUGGGGAGCAAACAGG
Molecule: ribosomal RNA, 253 nt
Filed under: uncultured bacterium
Lineage: Bacteria
Description: partial 16S ribosomal RNA
Rfam family: Bacterial small subunit ribosomal RNA
Source: RNAcentral